AGAUACCUCUUGUAUGGAGAUAUCUCGACCAUAUGCUCGCCUUAUCUCCAAGCGACGAAGUAGGUCGCUAUGCUAGGGUUUGGAGAAAUGACGAAGAAGAUUCAGAACAAACACUAAGAUGAACUAUUUCGCCACUGAACCAUCCCAUUACCUUUUGCUACCCUAGAUGCCGACGAGCCAGCUCUCUGGUGCUCAUCCUACUCCUCCUGAAGCACUACAGAGCUCUUUGGUGUGUGUGUCGUUACUUGUCAGACUUUGUAUUUUGUAAUUUGGGAGAGUGGAUUUGGAUCUAACACGCUCUUGGAUUGGUGAUUGGUGAAGAUAUCCUAACUGUUAUGGCUACAGAGCUCUGUGGUCUGGUGUGUGUCUUUACUUCUCAGACUUUGAAUUUUAUAAUUUGUGCAGGGAAAAUUGGAUUGGAUCCUCUCAAUCAUAACACGCUUUUGGAUGCUCUCAAUGGAGAGAACCCUUUCAAUAUUAAAGUGGGUGAAAACAGCAAUUCUCAGGUACGUAGUGGACAGCAAGGUAAGCAUUGAAAUGGAGCUAUGGAAGACUGUUGGCAAUGGAAGAUACGCAAGGAGCCAAGUGAAGAGCCGAGAUGUUUGUUCAGUUGCCUGGUGGUGGACUCGAGGCUGCUGUUUGCAGAAAACUCAAAAAGGUCAAGAUUGAAUUCUAGAUGCCGACGAUCUAGAUCUCCACUGGUGCCUCUUGAAAAAGGCAGCUCAUAUGCUCACCUUACCUAAGCCAUGCAGGUAACAUCUAAUUUCCCGGAAUGAAUCGUUGAAGUCGAAGGCUGUUGGAGUUGGCAAGGGAAGAUACACAAGGAGCCAAGUGAAGAGCAAACUCAAAAGGCCAAGAUUGAGGGAUGAUCAUCAUCGAAGAUUCGUUUUUAUUCCGGUGGCAAAGACGAUUAAGAGUUACGAGAGGGUGAUUGAUCGUGUUCGGAGAAGUAUUUGGUACUCUCUGAUCUAAAGAGGAAGCAAAAGACAACGAGUCCCUUGAAAAGAUCUCUUCGGAUACAGUUACAUAUGCGAGACGAGAGAUAUGGUGCUGGUUGAAAUCGAAGAUAUGGAGUUUGGUAGGUGCAUGUUGGCCAUGAAAGAUACAUUACGGAAGGAGCCAAGUUAAGAGCCAAGAUGUUUGUUCGGUUGAGGAGGCCGCUUGCCCUUGAGCUCAAAGGCCAAGGUUUGAUUUUUUCUUCUGUACUUUCUCUUUUUUGUUGCCCUUUGAGCUCAAAUUAGGAUUCUCUUGGCGGUUUUGCUAACAGGGUUUUUGGAAGCAAAUUUAUGAUCCGAUCUGAUCAUCAUCGCUCGCUCCCUCCUCCUACGGAAAGGGAUCAGUACUGUCUCUAUGAUGCUUUGUAAUGCUACUUACUAAGGUUGACGCUAUAGAUGGAAUUGUCUAUGUAUCAUGCAUAUAUACGACUCUACAAGGUUUUGGAUGAUGCUUUUAUCAUUUUGUGAUGGUUUUGACUGAUCGGACCAGAUCAGCAGUUGUUCAAGAUUGUACUUGAUGAGCUACUGAAACUGACGGGCGGAGGACAAGUAUCUGAGCUGCAUUCGCCGGGCUACCAGCAAUUCCACGUUGCUACAUUGAAGGAAGGAUGCUGUUUGCAGAGAGCCAAAUUCAAUGGCCAAGAUUGUACUCUUGAUGAGCUAGUGAGAUUGCUGGGCGGAGGAGAAGUAUUUGGUACUCUCUGAUUCAGAACCGAAACAAAGAUGAACUUCACCUUACAAUUGAACCAUUCCAUACCUUUUGGCUAUAUACCCUAGCUAGAUAAAGAGGAGGAGCUAUCUGGUGCUCAUCCUGCUCAAGUACUACAGAGCUUUGGUGUGUGUGUCUUUACUUCUCGGAUUGAAUUUUGUAAUUUGGUAAGCUUCUUACUACGGUUGCUGAUGUCACAAACUAUGGAGAUUUCUUGGCAAAGACCAGCUCAUAUGCUCGCCUUACUAAGAGUCAUUUCAUACCUUUUGCUAACGUAGAUGCCAAGGAGCUAUCUGGUGCUCAUCCUGCUGAAGUACAGAGCUUGCAGGAAAAGUGGCUUGGAUCUUCUAAUCACCACACGCUUUUAGAUCCUCUAAAUGGAGAACCUCUCAUUAAAGUUGCUGAAGUUGAUGAAACAGUAACUCAGCCAUAUAUGCUCCAAAUAGCUACCAGCAAGCUGCAGGAGGAGUCUUUGUCACACGGAAUUUUUUAGAGAACUGUUGCGGUGGUCAGUUGACUAGUGGACUCGAGGAGGCUGCUUCAAGAUCAAACUCAAAGGCCAAGGAAGCUGCUUGUAGAUCAAACUAAUAUCGACAGGGUAUCAAAGAAGAUUGGUAUGAUGGAGAAAGCAUUGCGUUUCCAGUGAUUCUUGUCACAGCUGUCAGUGACUACAAACAGCAUCUCCAUUUUCAAAACUUGAGUGAUGAAAAGAGAAACAUACAUCUAGAGGUGACAAGAGGUGGAAGGCCAGUGGAUAUUUCAAUCUAUGACACACUGUGGUUCUUGCGGAUGGAGUGCUAAUAUAUGGCCACUCUCUUGCCCUUGAUGAGUUCUUGAUGAGUUCUUGAUGAGUUUAGCAUGACUGGAGAGAGCAAAAUCGUGUGUAUUUUUCUUGUUUCCUAUCAUAAUUGAAAAUUGUUGACUUUCUCGUCCCGCUAUAUGGUGAGUCAAGAGGUGGUGGUGCUGCUUUGAGUGUCAAGGAGGCAUCGGGAAAAGCUAUUAUACUGGUAACAUGUGGAGAGCGAAUGGCUGAACGAAUUCUAUGAUGAAUGGCAACAGAAGCUGUAAGUUCCGAAUGAGAGAUGUGCUUUUGUAGAGAAGGCAACAGAAGCUUAGGUCUAUACUAUGAUCAUAUGCAGCUGAUGAAGCCACAGUUGGAGUCCAUCGGGGAGGAAAUGCAAAACAAGGGCAUGGACGCCGUUACGAUGGCAGAAGAUCAAAAAAAGAUGAAGAAUUUAUUUAAAGAAUAUGGUGUCACUCCAUUCACUCCAGUGAAAGGGAUGCUUAUUCAGGGACCUCUGUCCAUCUGCUUUUUUCUUGCUAUUCAAAAUAUGGCAGAGAAGGUACCUUCAUUCCAAACAGGAGGUUGGUGAAAACCCAUUGUAGACAUCAAUCCAAGUAAGUAAACUACUCAAUUGGUCAAGAUUGUACAUGAUGAGCUACUGAAAUUGAUGGGUGGAGGAGAAAGUAUCUGAGCUACCAGCAUUUCAGCUUCUCUCUCUCCACGACAAAUCCCUUUUGUAUGGAGAUAUCUCGACAAAGACCAGCUCAUAUGCUCGCCUUAUUAAGAUAGAAUCAUUCCAAACCUUUUUGCUAAUGUAGAUGCCGAGGAGUUAUCUGG
Molecule: non-coding RNA, 3325 nt
Organism: Camelina sativa (false flax)
Lineage: Eukaryota; Viridiplantae; Streptophyta; Magnoliopsida; Brassicales; Brassicaceae
Source: RefSeq, a predicted model, not a curated record